AUUUUCUGAUAUGUAGAAAAAAUAUCAGACAGUUUCUGGUCUCAUUGACUUCCAUAGUAGGAAAAAUAUAUACUAUGGAAGUCAAUGAGACCAGAAACUGU
Non-coding RNA from Pimephales promelas (fathead minnow), 101 nucleotides. Lineage: Eukaryota; Metazoa; Chordata; Actinopteri; Cypriniformes; Leuciscidae. The record is from RefSeq and is a predicted model, not a curated record.